AGAGAGGUUCGGAACAUCAAGUUGUAGCAAAUUAAUACAUUUUUGUAUUUUAAAUAUUAAAUCAAUUAUUUUCCCAAUAAAUUGAAAUAAAAUUGGACUGCAGUGAAUGUGAAAAUAUUUUUAAAAAACUUUUUUAAUGACUAAUUUCAUGCGCACUUGCGUAUUCCGAAAAAAACAGGAAGUCUCUACAUUUAAUGCUGUGUUGUAAACGGUGCUAAACUUCGAUAUUUUACAAUUAUUUAUCAUCACGAUAACAAAUUGUAAUUUGAUCAUUUUCUUUGAUAAGUACUUAUGCUUUAUUAGUUUGUCACAUACAUUAGUGAGCGUGAUAGAACAACUGCGUUAUUUAUUAAUUUAGGUUCACCAUCAACUAAUUACAUCAAUAUUUGCACAGACACUUGGACAAUUGCGUUACUAUUUAUUUAUUGACCUAUGAAUACCCGCAAGAUCAUUGCGUGCUAAGUCUUAAAUCGUAAGUUACAGAACUAGAGCCUCUCAGUUGGUAAAUAAUAUUAUAUGUUUUCAUAAAAAGUUCAGUCCCUUUUUCAGUAAAGCUUCAGCGGCGAAAUGAAACUGUAUCCUCACAAAGUUUUGCUUUAUUUGAAACAUACCUGUGUUACUUUACUUUACUAAAACUUAGUUUGGGGUUGUUUAAGGAAGAUGAUUUCCGUGCAGACUGUAGUGAUAAAUUGUGCGGAAACUGAAUUAUCAACAUUCAUUGGAAUUUUAUCAAGGGACCUAAUAACUUUAAGAUAUUACCGUUUUACUAAUAAAAUUACUGGACAUUUGCUGGACAUACAAUUUUAGUUAAGUACAUGAUGUAAGAGACGAAUGGAAAGGAGCAUGCUAGGAUUGAAACUAAUGG
This is a long non-coding RNA of Ostrinia furnacalis (Asian corn borer), 865 nucleotides long. RefSeq lists it as uncharacterized. NCBI's taxonomy places the organism in Eukaryota, Metazoa, Arthropoda, Insecta, Lepidoptera, Crambidae. The transcript has 2 exons. The record is from RefSeq and is a predicted model, not a curated record.